GGUGAAGAACGUAGCGAAAUGCGAUACGUAAUGUGAAUUGCAGAAUUCAGUGAAUCAUCGAGUCUUUGAACGCACAUUGCGCCCCCUGGUAUUCCGGGGGGCAUGCCUGUCCGAGCGUCAUUGCUGCCCUCAAGCACGGCUUGUGUGUUGGGCCUCCGUCCUCCUCCCGGGGGACGGGCCCGAAAGGCAGCGGCGGCACCGCGUCCGGUCCUCGAGCGUAUGGGGCUUCGUCACCCGCUCUUGUAGGCCCGGCCGGCGCUUGCCGACACAUCAAUCUUUUUUCCAGGUUGACCUCGGAUCAGGUAGGGAUACCCGCUGAACUUAAGCAUACAAUAAGCGGAGGA
This 344-nucleotide unclassified non-coding RNA is filed under the name soil metagenome. RNAcentral describes it as "partial contains 5.8S ribosomal RNA, internal transcribed spacer 2, and large subunit ribosomal RNA". The stretch from base 3 to 120 matches the Rfam family "5.8S ribosomal RNA", at positions 37 to 154 of the family's 154-position model. The record is from RNAcentral.